This 104-nucleotide small RNA is filed under the name bovine gut metagenome. Its description in RNAcentral is "COG3943 RNA". It matches the Rfam family "COG3943 RNA". From Rfam's summary of the family: cow rumen. Environment (Cow rumen (57)) The record is from RNAcentral.
GCGCUCCACACAGAUUAAUUCUGAGCAUGAGGCCAUCACGAGGAUGAUGUAACACCAGUAGUUAAGAUUAAUAGGGAUAUUAAUUGUUAGCUACACAAUGGUGU